AUGUUGAUAUGUCAUUCUACAAUUUUGUUGUUUUUGUUGGAACCUAUAUUAUCAAUUUUACACCUUGCAGAAUUUAUGACUAACAGGUUACAUGCUGGUUUCUUACUGUUUAGGUUUCGACAAUGGACAUUUGAACAAAAUCAUAUACUGGAGACUGCUUGUAUUAUAAUAGAAGGUAAACUUACCAAUCGAACCGAGUGA
Molecule: ribosomal RNA, 201 nt
Filed under: Triticum aestivum (bread wheat)
Lineage: Eukaryota; Viridiplantae; Streptophyta; Magnoliopsida; Poales; Poaceae
Description: partial small subunit ribosomal RNA
Source: RNAcentral